CUGGUAGUGUUGAUUCUCUCUGUACCAGGUGCCACCCCAACCAGGAAAUUCGGCCUUCGAUCAAGAUCAGAUUCCCAUAUUCGGUCGUAGGGGUCAUCGGGGUACCUGCGCGAGAACUUCCAUUCAGUGACAUUGCAAUGGUUUAAAGGCCGCAUCUCGAGAGUUGAUAUGAACGGAGAGCCCGUGGUUGCGCAGCACAGGCACACGUCCACAGAGUAGAGCUGGAACUUGGGGUAGGCGCCUUGGCUGACCGAAGCCCCGUACAAGAAGGUGGCGCGGACAAUGUAGCGCCGUCUUUCUUCAGUGGUGAGUGUGUAGCAGUACUUCUUGCUGUCUGUUGGGAAAUCCCUCCUUGUCUGAUACUGCUGCUGUGAGUUUCCAUUUAUAUCUCCCACUCUCACUGACACGCCGUCGCCUUGGAUUCCCUUGUCUGAGAUCCACGCCAGGCCGGUGCUGUUGUCCGUGUAGCUGCUUGUGCCUCCGCAGUCUAUGCUAAUGAACUCUGCGUGUGUUGAUGCUUUGCUAACUUUAAAUAGUGUUUCGUUUUAAAUCUUGAUCCGAUUUAAUGCUUCGAAUGAUGAAUUCGAGGCGUUACAUAGUUUAUGAAAACAUAGCAGUCUUGAUUAUGAUUUCA
Long non-coding RNA from Salvia miltiorrhiza (redroot sage), 634 nucleotides. RefSeq lists it as uncharacterized. Lineage: Eukaryota; Viridiplantae; Streptophyta; Magnoliopsida; Lamiales; Lamiaceae. The transcript has 3 exons. The record is from RefSeq and is a predicted model, not a curated record.